RNAcentral lists this ribosomal RNA (253 nucleotides) under uncultured bacterium. Its description in RNAcentral is "partial 16S ribosomal RNA". It matches the Rfam family "Bacterial small subunit ribosomal RNA", at positions 524 to 776 of the family's 1533-position model. The record is from RNAcentral.
UACGGAGGGAGCUAGCGUUGUUCGGAAUUAAUGGGCGUAAAGCGCACGUAGGCGGCUACUCAAGUCAGAGGUGAAAGCCCGGGGCUCCACCCCGGAACUGCCUUUGAAACUAGGUGUCUAGAAUCUUGUAGAGGUCAGUGCAAUUCCGAGUGUAGAGGGGAAAUUCGUAGAUAUUCGGAAGAACACCAGUGGGGAAGGCGAGUGACUGUACAAGUAUUUACGCCGGGUUGCCCAACCGUCGGGACCAAUCAGC